UGACAGGGUUAGAUGGAGGAGACAUUUGUCCUAUUCAAUAAGGCCAAAGGAACAAUAGAUCCAUUGUCCCCCUUGCCUCGAAUGCCAAAGCAAUUCUUCAUAAGUGGGGAUUCUGGCUACUUGGUAAAGAGGAAGAACUGUCCACUGGAAGAGAGUCCGGCCUUCCCUUGGCACCAGGCUUCUUGGAAGACAUCCAAGACAGAUCUGCUUUGCUACUACAUUCUCCUCAGAACAGUGAAUAGCGUUCCCUGGAAUUUCAGGGUGUUAGCAUUGGCAGCGCCUUGAGGCAGGGAAGCUGUUCUAACGCUCUGGCACUGUUAUAAACAUGAGGUAACAGAAUGCCCGAAGCCAAUUAAUAUGCACACAUCUGCAGGCAGCUUUGAGAGAAAUUAAUGGUGAGAAUUUCAGUGGCUGCAGGUUUUCCAGAUUCAAAGGGAUGACAUGGUUUAUGAAAUGAGUCAUAAAAAUGCAAAUUUAUAUCAAUAAGGAAAUAUCACUGACCCAGGAGCAAGAUCUAGAUAAUUUGCAUACAUAGAAAACAGGGGAGGAUGUUCCUGAGAGAGCUGCUCUUGUGCUGAUAGCAUCAAAACUGAAGGGCAUAGCCAUUAUUUCU
Long non-coding RNA from Diceros bicornis minor, 613 nucleotides. RefSeq lists it as uncharacterized. The record is from RefSeq and is a predicted model, not a curated record. NCBI's taxonomy places the organism in Eukaryota, Metazoa, Chordata, Mammalia, Perissodactyla, Rhinocerotidae. The transcript is spliced from 5 exons.